GCUGAAUAGAUCGAUUCCCCAGCGGAGUCGCCAAAAAUCGUGUUGGCAACUUUUUUGACAAGUCGACAAGCACGAU
This 76-nucleotide microRNA precursor is filed under the name Oryza sativa (Asian cultivated rice). Its description in RNAcentral is "miR5072 stem-loop (osa-MIR5072)". Lineage: Eukaryota; Viridiplantae; Streptophyta; Magnoliopsida; Poales; Poaceae. The record is from miRBase by way of RNAcentral.